This 431-nucleotide ribosomal RNA is filed under the name Pseudacysta perseae. RNAcentral's name for it is "partial 16S ribosomal RNA". Lineage: Eukaryota; Metazoa; Arthropoda; Insecta; Hemiptera; Tingidae. The record is from RNAcentral.
UUUUUUUUGUUUUAAUAAAAAAUAUAACCUGCUCAAUGAUUAAUUAAAUAGCCGCGGUGUAUAAUCGUGCUAAGGUAGCGUAAUAAUUUGUCUUUUAAUUAAGGUCUAGAAUGAAAGGUUGAACGAAAGGUUUACUUUCUUUACUUUAAUAUUUUGGAUUUUAUUUUUUAAUUAAAAAGUUAAAAUUUUUUUAUGGGACGAUAAGACCCUAUAGAAUUUUAUUGUUUAAGUAAUUUAAGUAAUUUAAUUAUGUAUUAUUUGUUUUAUAAAAAUAAUUUGGUUGGGGUGACUGUUAUAUUAAUUUAACUAUAUCUUAUUUAUAUCAUUAAUUUAUGAAUUAUUGAUCCUUAUGAAAGAUUAAAAGAUUAAAUUACCUUAGGGAUAACAGCGUAAUUUCUUUGGGGAGUUCAUAUCUAUAAAGAAGAUUGCGA